CUGAAAUAUUAUGUUAGAUGUUUGAUUUUUUUUCCCUCUCUUCCAGUUUCCAUAGUAAUGAUCAAAUCAAAGAAAUAUAGAAAACACCUAACAUUGCUGGAAACUGAAGAGGUGUUCAACUCAUUUAUCCGACCUUGAAGCCAGUAGAGUGCAGGAGACAUCUGAGUGUUGUCAAGGAUCAACAAAUCUGGAUACUAGUUAAUGUGAUGCCGUGAACCUAGCAAUGAGUGAGGAAAAGGAAUCUUUCACCCCUACAAAGGGAUACCAUGGAAUUUCUCAAACAGUGAAUACAUUGGCUCCAGGAAAAAGGGUCGACCUCUUAAAUAGAAAUAGAGAACUAGAGAACAAUAAUGAGGGGAGUACCUUGCAGUCAGUAAUAAGAAGCUGUCUUUACUAUCAAAUCAGACCUCCAGUGGGAGAGUUUUUCCCUAUAGUGACUUUGACUGUCACCCUGUGUUUAAUCACAAUCCUAUGAAAACAGUUAACUCUCUAAGUGGUCAAAGAAAUUUUUCAAUAAACAUAAACUUUAGUCUAAUUCUCAUUAUUCUCCUUUUUUGUCUCUUUGUCUAAAAUAAAGCAAUUAAACAUUAAUUAUGCAAAUCAUUGACAAACUAGAAAAACAAUACCCUUCGUAUUUCAAGACAGUGGGAGAGAUAGGCUGGGUAUUCAGAGAAAAAUACCCCUCAUUAAAUGUUAAUGCAAGAAACAGGUGGAAGGCCGAGCAUGGUGGCUCAGGCCUGUAAUUCCUACACUUUGGGAGGCUGAGGCAGGUGGAUCACCUGAGGUCAGCAGUUUGAGAUCAGUCUGGCAAACAUGAUGGAACCCCAUCUCUACUAAAAAUAUAAAAAAUUAGCUGGGUGGGGUGGCAGGUGCCUUUAAUCCCAGCUAUUUAGGAGGCUGAGACAGGAGAAUCACUUGAACCCAGGAGGUGGAAGUUGUAGUGAGCCAAGAUCGUG
RNAcentral lists this long non-coding RNA (956 nucleotides) under Homo sapiens (human). Its description in RNAcentral is "HSALNT0185508". The record is from RNAcentral. Lineage: Eukaryota; Metazoa; Chordata; Mammalia; Primates; Hominidae.